UGCUCCAUUGACUAGGUUACAUAUUUAAAAUUUCAUGUGGUGGAUUAGUGUUUUUUGUUUGGCACAUUUAUGAUAUGUCUUUGAAUCUAUCCAUUUUAUCAGAUACAAGGUAGUUGUGCAAGCUGUUCAUGAUAGUCACAAGGCUGAAUUUGUGUUUUGGGAUAGUGAAGGUCUUCAGAUUAUUGGUAUUACUGCCCAAGCUCUUAGGAAGACUAUGCAAGAGGUCGAUGAGGAUGAUCCUAAAAUAUACCAAAAACAUCUAUAUAAACUACUCGGUCUUGAGUCUGUGUUACGUGUCAACCAUCAGCCAUACUAUCAUCAAUCAUUCGUUUUAGGUGUUUCCCAUGAUCCUGUUGUCAUCAAAAAAAAUUAAGUCUCAUCUUCAGCCAGAGGGGCAAUAACUUGAUGAGAAUGUUAUCUAUGAUAAUCCAACCCAGACAUUCAUUCUUGAGAAGAAUAAUGCUUCUGCUAAGUGCUCAGAUUCCCUUAACAUUCCCACGGUAUAAUAAUUAAACACAUUGAAUUUCUCUGUGAUUUGUUAUUGUAAUUAUUAAUAUUAUAUUCAUUUUAACUAUGGAAAUUUUAUCCUUAUUGUGACAACAUUCUUCUCUGCUUGUGGUGAAAAUGAUUUGGAAUUGCACUCAUGCAAAGUGUUCGUCCACUGAGAAAUACCUAGAUGACAUUGCAUCUGAUGCCUAUAAUCCAACACAAUUGUCUUCCACUAAGUUGGCCAAACACAUCAUGAAGGAGUGAUUGACCUUUUCUUUGUCUGCUUUUUUGAAAACAUGUCAUAGACUCUUGCAAAGUUAUUUGACUUUCAUAUAUAAUUAGAUUCUGAGAUGUUAGUAAGGAUAUCUAACUAGAAAAUAAUGGUUGUUUCCAAAAUCUAAUCUGAUAAAGAAAUUAUGUAUGUAAGUUGAACAACAUUUUUUUUUAAUUUUAAAGUUUUUUAGUAUGUGAAACAAAUAAGAUUGAUCAUAAUUUAUGAUUUCUAUUUCUGCCUCUUUUUUUUUAAAAAAAAAUUGGUUGAAUAUAGUCACCAAUGAACAAGAACAGUUAAACUCUUAUUUAUAAUUGGUUGCAUAGGACGGAAAAUAUUAACUUUAUCAGUGCAUUAUGUCACCCAAUUGAUUCGUCUAUGAUCUUAACCUAUAUUCUUAGAAAAAAUGCAUCAACAUUGUUGAAACAAAUGGAAAUUAACAUCCGGUAAAAAAUUGCUAAAACAUGUUGCAUACAUUUAAAGACAAAAAUGUUAAUAGCAUCCCUGAAAACACAUUUGUAGAAACAAUGGUGUUACGAACUACAUAAUAUAACUUUCAUGCAAUGACACAUAAUUUUAAUCAUUGAAAAACAUUAAAACGUUUACUAUAUAGUUGCACCAGUUUUUCUUGAUCAGAGUGAAAGAGACACUUUUUAUGCAUCAAAGUUUUAUAAUGCUUUGUGUCCGCCCCUUAAAGAGUAGAAUAAAAAGGUCCUACAUUGUCGUCGAGGGCAUUUUCAGGACAUGUCUUUGGCAAAAUCGGAAGAUUAGAAUUUAAGCAAUUAUGCGUUUAUAAGAUUAGAAUUCAGUUGCUCCAAGCAGUGGUUUGUACAGGACAACUACCCAUACUUAUAAGUUGUUUUUCCAUAUGAGGACCAAAGUGAGUGUUGUUGAGGGUCCCUUGCUUCCCAUGUUUGGAUUAACUUUGACUAAUAUAGUUGAGGUUAACCAUCAAACCGUGGACAACGAUUAUUUGAUUGGUUUGUUGUUUUCAUAGAGUUAUCUACAUAUCUUCCUAAUUUGCUUAUUUUCCUUAUG
Long non-coding RNA from Medicago truncatula (barrel medic), 1798 nucleotides. RefSeq lists it as uncharacterized. Lineage: Eukaryota; Viridiplantae; Streptophyta; Magnoliopsida; Fabales; Fabaceae. The transcript has 3 exons. The record is from RefSeq and is a predicted model, not a curated record.